Molecule: long non-coding RNA, 1062 nt
Filed under: Rosa chinensis
Lineage: Eukaryota; Viridiplantae; Streptophyta; Magnoliopsida; Rosales; Rosaceae
Description: sRNA RchiOBHm_Chr2g0156341
Source: RNAcentral
GAUUUUGGAGUUUACUUUGAACUGAAGGCCCACUACAGAAAAAUUUGGCCUUUGUCCAUUCCACUAUAGUUCUAGGGAAGUUUACAAUGAAGAUUUGGCCUAACAUGAAGACAUUAGGCCCUUUUAUGUUACCUCUAGGGAAAGUGACGUUUUUGCAAUGCCUUGGUGGAUUUCUUGAGGUCUCUACAUCUACAUGUGCUCUGCUAGGUUUUUAGGACACUUUGAUAAAUCCUUACCCUUCAUUUCUUAAAACCUUGAGCCUUGGCCCCAUUACAACCCUAAAUAAGACCUUCUUGAUCCUUAAGAUGGGACAGCCUUUGAUUUGUGGAGAUGAGUUACAAGAGUUGAACCUAUGGCUUGGGUCCAUCCGUGCAAGUAGUUGAUAUCCUUCAUGAGAUCUUUUCAAAAAAAAAAUUAUAUUCACAAAGUGCUUUUCGUUUCUUAUAUAUGUGAGCUAUUUGAUUGCCUCAAAAUAUUUUCUCUCACAUAUAAUUGAGUGAUUAUAAGCUUUUAAGCAUUGUCUUGAAUUCUAAGAGAAGAAAGAGUGGAUAUACCUUGUGAGGAUAUGAAUCAUACUUGUUCGAAGCAUGCUUAACAGAAACCAUCACCAUUAUUACAACCAAGUCCUACUUGUGUAUGUGAGAUUUCUGAGACAAAAAGUUGAAGGGCAAUAGAGUCAUUGUUUUUGUAGAGUCUUUAAUUUUCGUUGAGUGUUAGUGUGUGUCUUAGUGUGAUUUUGCUAAGGGACUAGCAAAAGCUAAGUGUGGGGGAAUUUGAUAGGAGCAUUUUAAUGCGACGUUUUAACUGCAUUUCCCUACAUUUCUUACGUUAUUUCCUUAUUAAAAUCCUGUUUAGGAAAGUUUCCAUUCUUUGAUUGGGAAAGUUCCUAUUUGUAGAAAGUUUAUAUUUUUGUAGUUUCUAUUUAUCAUUUUUAGUAAGUUGCCAUUUUUCAUUUUAGGAAAGUUUCUAUUUUUCUUAUUAGUUUCUAUUUUUUUAGGACCUCCAAGCAAGUGGAAAAUCUUGAGGAGGAAAAUCAAAGUUGCAACCAAGUGGAAAAUCUUG